RNAcentral lists this transfer RNA (125 nucleotides) under Kofleriaceae bacterium. Its description in RNAcentral is "tRNA-OTHER". It matches the Rfam family "tRNA". Rfam says of the family: Transfer RNA (tRNA) molecules are approximately 80 nucleotides in length. Their secondary structure includes four short double-helical elements and three loops (D, anti-codon, and T loops). Further hydrogen bonds mediate the characteristic L-shaped molecular structure. tRNAs have two regions of fundamental functional importance: the anti-codon, which is responsible for specific mRNA codon recognition, and the 3' end, to which the tRNAs corresponding amino acid is attached (by aminoacyl-tRNA synthetases). tRNAs cope with the degeneracy of the genetic code in two manners: having more than one tRNA (with a specific anti-codon) for a particular amino acid; and 'wobble' base-pairing, i.e. permitting non-standard base-pairing at the 3rd anti-codon position. Lineage: Bacteria; Pseudomonadati; Myxococcota; Haliangiales; Kofleriaceae. The record is from RNAcentral.
GCACGCGUAGUUCAACCGGGAGAACACCAAAACACCCGUUUGCGGCACCUUGUCCAUUCGUGGGCCGAUCGUGGACGGUUAUCCCUCCAACGGAGGAGAUGCUGGUUCGAAUCCAGCCGUGUGCA